CCUACGGGUGGCAGCAGUGGGGAAUAUUGCACAAUGGGGGAAACCCUGAUGCAGCGACGCCGCGUGAGAGAUGAAGUAUUUAGGGAUGUAAAGCUCUAUCAGCAGGGAAGAAAAUGACGGUACCUGACUAAGAAGCCCCGGCUCACGACGUGCCAGCAGCCGCGGUAACACGCAGGGGGCAAGCGUUAUCCGGCUUUACUGGGUGUAAAGGGAGCGUAGACGGCGGUGCAAGUCAGAUGUGAAAGCCCGGGGCUCAACCCCGGGACUGCAUUUGGAACUGUGCUGCUAGAGUGUCGGAGAGGCAGGCGGAAUUCCUAGUGUAGCGGUGAAAUGCUUAGAUAUUAGGAGGAACACCAGUGGCGAAGGCGGCCUGCUGGACGAUGACUGACGUUGAGGCUCGAAAGCGUGGGUAGCAAACAGGAUUAGAUACCCCAGUAGUC
This 440-nucleotide ribosomal RNA is filed under the name uncultured bacterium. RNAcentral describes it as "partial 16S ribosomal RNA". It matches the Rfam family "Bacterial small subunit ribosomal RNA", at positions 338 to 795 of the family's 1533-position model. The record is from RNAcentral.